This 1410-nucleotide ribosomal RNA is filed under the name uncultured bacterium. RNAcentral's name for it is "16S ribosomal RNA". It matches the Rfam family "Bacterial small subunit ribosomal RNA". The record is from RNAcentral.
GAGUUUGAUCAUGGCUCAGGACGAACGCUGGCGGCGUGCCUAAUACAUGCAAGUAGAACGCUGAAGAGAGGAGCUUGCUCUUCUUGGAUGAGUUGCGAACGGGUGAGUAACGCGUAGGUAACCUGCCUUGUAGCGGGGGAUAACUAUUGGAAACGAUAGCUAAUACCGCAUAACAAUGGAUGACACAUGUCAUUUAUUUGAAAGGGGCAAUUGCUCCACUACAAGAUGGACCUGCGUUGUAUUAGCUAGUAGGUGAGGUAACGGCUCACCUAGGCGACGAUACAUAGCCGACCUGAGAGGGUGAUCGGCCACACUGGGACUGAGACACGGCCCAGACUCCUACGGGAGGCAGCAGUAGGGAAUCUUCAGCAAUGGGGGCAACCCUGACCGAGCAACGCCGCGUGAGUGAAGAAGGUUUUCGGAUCGUAAAGCUCUGUUGUAAGUCAAGAACGAGUGUGAGAGUGGAAAGUUCACACUGUGACGGUAGCUUACCAGAAAGGGACGGCUAACUACGUGCCAGCAGCCGCGGUAAUACGUAGGUCCCGAGCGUUGUCCGGAUUUAUUGGGCGUAAAGCGAGCGCAGGCGGUUUGAUAAGUCUGAAGUUAAAGGCUGUGGCUCAACCAUAGUUCGCUUUGGAAACUGUCAAACUUGAGUGCAGAAGGGGAGAGUGGAAUUCCAUGUGUAGCGGUGAAAUGCGUAGAUAUAUGGAGGAACACCGGUGGCGAAAGCGGCUCUCUGGUCUGUAACUGACGCUGAGGCUCGAAAGCGUGGGGAGCGAACAGGAUUAGAUACCCUGGUAGUCCACGCCGUAAACGAUGAGUGCUAGGUGUUGGAUCCUUUCCGGGAUUCAGUGCCGCAGCUAACGCAUUAAGCACUCCGCCUGGGGAGUACGACCGCAAGGUUGAAACUCAAAGGAAUUGACGGGGGCCCGCACAAGCGGUGGAGCAUGUGGUUUAAUUCGAAGCAACGCGAAGAACCUUACCAGGUCUUGACAUCCCGAUGCUAUUUCUAGAGAUAGAAAGUUACUUCGGUACAUCGGUGACAGGUGGUGCAUGGUUGUCGUCAGCUCGUGUCGUGAGAUGUUGGGUUAAGUCCCGCAACGAGCGCAACCCCUAUUGUUAGUUGCCAUCAUUCAGUUGGGCACUCUAGCGAGACUGCCGGUAAUAAACCGGAGGAAGGUGGGGAUGACGUCAAAUCAUCAUGCCCCUUAUGACCUGGGCUACACACGUGCUACAAUGGUUGGUACAACGAGUUGCGAGUCGGUGACGGCAAGCUAAUCUCUUAAAGCCGAUCUCAGUUCGGAUUGUAGGCUGCAACUCGCCUACAUGAAAGUCGGAAAUCGCUAGUAAUCGCGGAAUCAGCGCGCCGCGGUGAAUACGUUUCCCGGGCCUUGCGCUCACCGCCCGUCA